GUGUAAACAGCAGCAGAUCUCAACCAGUGUUAAACUGAAGGAGAAAAAACUAAGUGGAAGAUAGCCAUGAUUUAUGCUGUGUUGGAGUGGAGAACUGAGGGGAUGCAGAUGGUAUCUAUGACGUUGUGCUAGGCAGCUGAGUGGAAGAGGACAGAGGGAGGCGGGGUUUCCUCCAGUGAGACUACAGACACCCGGUGUCCAGUGUGAAGUCCCCACCUCUUCACCAAGAAAAAGCUUUUUGCGGCCUGUCACCAGAUAUGUCACAGCUUUCCUAUUCCAUAUUUCAUAUUUGUUGUUAAAAGAAACAACUCUACCACUAUCUAGCAUCAACAUGUCAUGCCUGUUGGGAGUGUACUGUUUCUCCCUGGUUUCAUAUACUGCGUUAAUAUACACAUAUACAAUACCGGUCAAAAGUUUGGACACACUUACCCAUUAUACAUUUAUAUAAAUGUAGGUCUAUAUCAAUAUACUGUAUGUAUGUUUUUAAAUGUUCACACAAACGUGUGUGCACUGAUGACACGAUACAAUGUGACCAUUCAGGUAAAGCGAAUAACGUUGCUAUCCUAACAACCUGACACAUGUCAAGGUCUGGGUAGAUAAGAUGGUAAGUGAACAAUCCGUUCUUUUUGUCAAUGUGUUGGAUGCAGGAGAAAUGGGCAGGAGUAAAGACCUGAGUGACCAAAUUGUUAUGGCCAGACGACAGGGUCAGAGCAUCUCUGAAAAGGCAAGGAUUGUGGGGUGCUUCCAUUCAGCAGGAUGGACAAACCACAAAACACCCUGUUGGACGCCCAAGGCUCACCAAUGUACGAGGGCAAAAAAGGCUGUCCCGUCUGAUCUGAACCUGCAGAAGGCCUGCUGCUAACGGCCUGGUUCCACAUACCACAGGACACUUUCAGGUCUUUAUGGACCCCGCUUUGUCCACAGAGGCACAGAUAUGCUGGAACAGGAAAUGGCCUUCCCCAAACUGUUGGCACAAAAGUUGGUAGCACCCAAGUGUUUUUAAUAUCUUUGUAUCCUAAGAGGACACUUCACUGGAAUUAAGGGGCCUACCCCAAACCCUGAAACACGCCCCAGACCAUUAUCCCUCCUCCAUAGAACUUUACAGUAGGCACUAUGCAUUCCAGUAGGUAGCGUUCUCCUGGCAUCCACCACACGUAGAUUCAUCAAUCAGAAUGCUAGAUAGUGAAAGUGAUUUAUCACUCCUGAGAACGUUCCCACGAGUCCACUGGUGGCAUGUUUUACACCACUCCUGCUGAAGCUUGGCAUUGUGCAUGUUGAUGUGAGGUUUGGGUAUAGCCGGUUGGCCAUGAAAACCCAUUGGGUGAAGCUCCUGACGCACAGUUCUUGUGCUGAUGUUGCUUCCAGAGACAGUUUGGAACUCUGUGGGGAGUGAUGCAACAGAUUCUAGGCGACUGUUACGCGCUACGCUCUCCGCACUGUGAGUAUACCACCUCGUGGCUGGACUGUUGUUUCUCCUAGACGCUUCCACUUCAGAAUAAUAGCCCUUACACCUGACUUGGGGAGAUCUACUAGGGCAGAAAUGUCCCAAGCUACUUUGUGGCAAAGGCAGCAUCCUAUGACAGCAACAUGUUUAAAAUCACUGAGUUCUUCUCAGUAUGAUCCAUUGUACUGCCAAUGUUUGUCUAUGGAGAUUUCAUGGCUAUGUGCUGGAUUUUAUGAAUGCUAUGAGCAAUGGGCGUGGCUAAAACACCUGCACUCAAUAAUAAGUAGGGGUGUCAAUCAAUCAAUCAAAUGUAUUUAUAGUAUGUCCACAUACUUCUGGCCAUAGAGUGGAUAUACAUCAUUGUAGGUAAUGACAGUUACCAAGGUUUUAAAUCGGACUGCUGUAGAACAAUAAUCAAAAGAUCCUACGACAAAUACACAAUACACAAUAAAUUACACUCACCUAAAGGAUUAUUAGGAACACCUGUUCAAUUUCUCUUUAAUGCAAUUAUCUAAUCAACCAAUCACAUGGCAGUUGCUUCAAUGCAUUUAGGGGUGUGGUCCUGGUCAAGAUAAUCUCCUAAAC
This is a long non-coding RNA of Esox lucius (northern pike), 2029 nucleotides long. The record is from Ensembl. NCBI's taxonomy places the organism in Eukaryota, Metazoa, Chordata, Actinopteri, Esociformes, Esocidae.